RNAcentral lists this ribosomal RNA (523 nucleotides) under Lerista stylis. RNAcentral's name for it is "partial 16S ribosomal RNA". It matches the Rfam family "Bacterial large subunit ribosomal RNA", at positions 1816 to 2595 of the family's 2925-position model. Lineage: Eukaryota; Metazoa; Chordata; Lepidosauria; Squamata; Scincidae. The record is from RNAcentral.
UAGCCUUUAGCAGCAUAAGUAUUAAAGGUCCUGCCUGCCCAGUGAAAACAUUUUUAACGGCCGCGGUAUUCUAACCGUGCAAAGGUAGCGUAAUCACUUGUCUUCCAAAUAAAGACCAGUAUGAACGGCUAAAUGAGGACAAACCUGUCUCCUACAACCAAUCAGUGAAACUAAUCUCCCAGUCCAAAAGCUGGGAUACCAACAUUAGACGAGAAGACCCUGUGGAGCUUAAAAUACGCCUAGUACACAAAACACAACCAGUGCAAAUUUUAAGUUGGGGCGACUUCGGAAAAAAACAAAACUUCCGAGCACAGAACCACAAAUUCAAAACCAAGGCAAACAGGCCUAAGGCAAAAACUGACCCAGUACCAACUGACCAACGAACCAAGUUACCCCAGGGAUAACAGCGCCAUCCUCUUCAAGAGUCCAUAUCGACAAGAGGGUUUACGACCUCGAUGUUGGAUCAGGGCACCCAAAUGGUGCAGCCGCUAUUAAAGGUUCGUUUGUUCAACGAUUAACAGCC